UUGCUUUGGCAGCACAUAUACUAAAACUGGAACAAUACAGAGAAGAUUAGCAGGGCCCCUGCGCAGGAUGACAAGCAAAUUCCUGCAGAGUUGCAUAUUUUU
Molecule: small nuclear RNA, 102 nt
Organism: Otolemur garnettii (small-eared galago)
Lineage: Eukaryota; Metazoa; Chordata; Mammalia; Primates; Galagidae
Source: Ensembl